This 29-nucleotide non-coding RNA is filed under the name Mus musculus (house mouse). The record is from RNAcentral. Lineage: Eukaryota; Metazoa; Chordata; Mammalia; Rodentia; Muridae.
UNCAAAUUGUCAGGCAAUGGCUUGUCCUG